GAACGCAGGCUUGAAUCCGUGGGCAACCCGGCAGGACGCCGGGUUAGCCGCCCCGCGCCAUGGAUGGCGCGUGGCGGCGGCCCACGGAUUCAAGCCGGAGUGA
Regulatory RNA element from Pseudomonas fluorescens, 103 nucleotides. The record is from Rfam. NCBI's taxonomy places the organism in Bacteria, Pseudomonadati, Pseudomonadota, Gammaproteobacteria, Pseudomonadales, Pseudomonadaceae.